RNAcentral lists this transfer RNA (77 nucleotides) under Staphylococcus aureus. Lineage: Bacteria; Bacillati; Bacillota; Bacilli; Caryophanales; Staphylococcaceae. The record is from RNAcentral.
GGAGGUCACACCUGUUCCCAUGCCGAACACAGAAGUUAAGCUCCUUAGCGUCGAUGGUAGUCGAACUUACGUUCCGC